AUGAUGGAACUGUUAUCGCAUGAAUCUUUUGUCAAACUCUUAGUGACUCUAUGGGCAAUAUGGUGGGCUCAAUGUCAAGCAAUCCAUGAGGGAAUUUUCCAAAGUCCUUUUGCUACCCAUUUUUUUGUUGAGAGGUUUAUACGUGAGCUACAGAGUUUGGGAGCCAGCAAGCCAAUGAGUAAUGUGGGAGUGAUAAGGCAUCCCAAUGCCAAGGUGCCACCUACAGGUUUUGCUAAGAUCCAUGUUAAUGCUGGAGUGUCGCGUUUCAACAGGGGAGGUUCAGCGGCAGCCAUCUGUAGAGAUGACAAUGGAUGCUACUUGGGAAGCUCAGCCCUAGUGAUCCCAGGGGUGCUGAACAUAGCAACCCUGGAAGCAAUCGUGUGUCGGGAGGCACUAUCUCUGGCUGAAGACUUGCACAUUCAAAAUUUCAUCAUAGCUUCAGAUUCUAAGCAGGUGAUAAAUGAUAUAAACAAGGGCUACAAAGGCAAGUAUGGCACGAUCAUAACAGAAAUUAGCUUGCGAGCUUCUGCUUUCAAUUGCAUCUUCGCUUUUGAGGGCCGGGCAUCGAAUGGUGAUGCUCACAACAUAGCUAGAUCCUCUAUUUCCCUUUAGAAGGGGAACCAUAUUUGGCUUGUUCACCCCCAUGCAAAUUGUAUUCCACAAACUGUGGCUUUUGAUCAAUAA
This 684-nucleotide ribosomal RNA is filed under the name Triticum aestivum (bread wheat). RNAcentral's name for it is "partial small subunit ribosomal RNA". Lineage: Eukaryota; Viridiplantae; Streptophyta; Magnoliopsida; Poales; Poaceae. The record is from RNAcentral.